UACGCAGGCUGUGAUUCAAGUCAGCUGUAAAAGGAUGCGGCUUAACCGUGUUUAGCAGUUGAAACUGGAUGACUGGAGUGCUGGAGAGGCAAGUGGAAUUCCCAGUGUAGCGGUGAAAUGCGUAGAUAUUGGGAAGAACAUCGGUGGCGAAGGCGACUUGCUGGCCAGUAACUGACGCUGAGGUGCGAAAGCCAGGGUAGCAAACG
RNAcentral lists this ribosomal RNA (206 nucleotides) under uncultured bacterium. Its description in RNAcentral is "partial 16S ribosomal RNA". It matches the Rfam family "Bacterial small subunit ribosomal RNA", at positions 568 to 774 of the family's 1533-position model. The record is from RNAcentral.